AUGGCGGCGCCCGCGCUCCUCUCCGCACCACCCCCUCCCCCACCAAUGGAAGAGGAUGGUCUCACCUCCCACGUCGCACCAAGCCCAAACCCACCCCCACCCCCGUCGAAGAGCGGUUUCUUGCGUGGGCGGCCGCCCAUUGGGGUGACAUCGGAGUUCGACAGCGAGCGCCAGCUCUUUUCCCACCGCAUCUCCUGCCGCGUCCUCAACGGCCUUGCCAAGCUCCGUCUCCGAGUUCACCACGGGGCCGCGGGAGGGGCCCCGACUCCCGAGGUGGCGCUCAUGGGGCGGAACUUCUCCGCCGUCGUCGACGCCGCCUCCCGCGGCGCCGUGCUGCGAGGAACGGCCGACCUUGCCGGAUCGCUCCACCUUAGUGCGGCGCACAACACGAAGGAGGGACAAGGAGAAGUGGCAGUAACUACUAAUUUGGGAGAUUCACCAUGCAAAAUUGAGUUAUCAUCGCUGGUUCCUCCUGAUGGAUUGCCAAGAGCAACCUUCUUGUUUCCUAACGGGGAAGUUUCAGUUAAGGAGAAGAAGUUGGAUGAGGGUGAGAAAAUUUUGUCAGUAAAUGGUAUAGUGAAGUCUCAUGUUCUGAAUGGAGUUUGCACUGCAUUGUACAAUGAUAAUAUGAUGAAUAUCAAGUAUCGCUAUAAGGAUGAUGAGCUAUCAUUUAUUCCCAGCCUCACUUUACCAUCAAAUUCACUAUCAUUUGCAUUUAAACGCCAGUUAACUCCUUCAGACAAGUUCAGUUACCGGUACCAUUUUGACACAAACUACUGGAGUGCUGUCUAUAAACAAAAGGCCAGUAAGCAUGUCAAAUGGAAAGCAGGUUAUGGGUCGGACGAAAGGCUUGGCUGGGCAUCUGUUUGGGUUGGCGACGCAGGCGGCAAGACAAAGGAAGCCCCCCUGAAGACAAAAGUCCAACUCAUGAUAAAAGUCCCUCAGAACAAUAUACAGAAUUCAACUCUAGUGUUCCGGGUGAAGAAAAGAUGGGAUUUUUAG
RNAcentral lists this ribosomal RNA (1002 nucleotides) under Triticum aestivum (bread wheat). RNAcentral's name for it is "partial small subunit ribosomal RNA". The record is from RNAcentral. Lineage: Eukaryota; Viridiplantae; Streptophyta; Magnoliopsida; Poales; Poaceae.